This is a non-coding RNA of Leptonychotes weddellii (Weddell seal), 448 nucleotides long. The record is from RefSeq and is a predicted model, not a curated record. Lineage: Eukaryota; Metazoa; Chordata; Mammalia; Carnivora; Phocidae.
AUGGUGAACGUUCUUAAAACCCGCCGGACUUUUCGGCAAGAAGUGUGGCAAGCACCAGCCCUACAAAGUGACACAGUACAAGAAGGGCAAAGAUUCUCUUUAUGCCCAGGGAAAGCAGCGUUAUGACAGGAAGCAGAGUGGCUAUGGUGGGCAGACUAAGCCGAUUUUCUGGAAAAAGGCUACAACUACAAAUAAGAUUGUGCUGAGGCUUGAAUGUGUUGAGCCCAAUUGCAGAUCUAAGAGAAUGCUGGCUAUUAAGAGAUGCAAGCAUUUUGAACUGGGAGGAGAUAAGAAGAGAAAGGGCCAAGUGAUCCAGUUCUAAGCUUCAUAUUUUGUUAUUAUUAUGAAGACAAUAAAAUCUUGAGGUUAUGUUCACUUCAUUUGGUUGCAGUUGGUCUUUUAAGAGGGAAAUAAACUAGUGCCAUCAAUAAAAUUCCCCUUGUGGGGC